UGAAGGGCUUCGGCUUGUAAACCGCUUUUCUUUGGGAAGAAUGUAUGGGUCGUGAACCCGUGCUCGACGGUACCAGAGGAAUAAGCCCCGGCUAACUCCGUGC
Molecule: ribosomal RNA, 103 nt
Filed under: uncultured bacterium
Lineage: Bacteria
Description: partial 16S ribosomal RNA
Rfam family: Bacterial small subunit ribosomal RNA
Source: RNAcentral